Molecule: long non-coding RNA, 1196 nt
Organism: Oncorhynchus keta (chum salmon)
Lineage: Eukaryota; Metazoa; Chordata; Actinopteri; Salmoniformes; Salmonidae
Exons: 2
Source: RefSeq, a predicted model, not a curated record
AGCAGACAUGGGCAAACUACGGCCCGCGGGCCACAUACGGCCCGUUAGGCUUUUUAAUCCGGCCCGCCGAACUUGUCCAAAUUAUAGUAAAAACCUCCUUUUUUCCCCUUUCCCUGCAAUGCCCACGUUUCCCCAAUAGAUGGCGCACUCAAAACACAUUGACCGUUGUUGGAGUGGCACGUAUUUCUCUUUAUUUCACUUUAAUUUUCACUUCGUUUCACGUCACCAUUAAGCCCUUCUGUGAAAAUGAGCGGACCAAAGAGAAGGAAAGUGGACAGCGAAUGCCGAGUGUUUAAUAAGGAGUGGACAACAAAAUACUUCUUCACUGAAGUCCGAUCAACGGCUGUAUGUCUGAUAUGCCAAGAAGCUGUUGCGGUUUUCAAAGAGUACAAUAUCAGCCGUCACUUUGCCACGAAGCAUGCAAACUAUGCUAGCAAGCAGUCAACACAAGAACGGGCGGCUACUGCUCAGAGGUUGGCAGCUAAUUUACAGAGUCAACAGAACUUUUUUCACCGACAAACUGCAAUUCAAGAGUCAAGUACCAAGGCAAGUUAUUUGCUGGCAUUCAAAUUAGCAAAGGCUAGCAAGCCUUUCUCCGAAGGCGAGUUUUUGAAAGAGUGCAUGGUAGAGACAGCAGACGUUUAGCGUCAUGAAAAUCAACAAAGCCCAUCACAGAUCCAAGUUAACUGACCAACACCUCAGAUCUGUCCUGAGAAUUGCCACAACAAAACUAACUCCAGACUUUGAUGCACUGGCAAAAAAGGGAGACCAACAACACUGUUCCCACUGAAAUGGUGAGUUUUUCUGCUGUGUUAUGAAAAAAUGCAUAUGGAAAGUUUGGAAGUGCGUCUUUUAUUUAAGAGCAAUGCGCAUUUACGCACAGCAGCGGUACAGUAGCUUAAUUAACACGCCGCACAUCGCUCUUAAUUUAAAUUUAAAUUUUCAGCUGCAGGUAGGAUAUUUAAUACAGCCUAUGUCUGUGUGCUUGGCAACGAUACACGUGUACUGUUUGCGCGUGAAGGCGAGGGCGUCCGUGGCGAGUUUGUAGAGCGCGCGGUCAGGACAAUCCAUCCAUGAUUUUGCGGAGUUUAACACAAGUAGAUAUUAUUGAGCUUGAGUAUUUCGUUGUGUAAUAAUAUGUUUUGAAUGUUGAAAGUGAUUCCAUUUUUCAAUAAAUGUUGAUUUCUUUAACUUUG